CAGCCAUGACUGAUGCGGCAAACCGCACCCGCCUUCCCUCAUAAGAGCCGGGAGAAACAAAUCCGCAAUCUGUUGCGUGCGCCUCGGCUGGAUAAGGAAGCGCGUUUUUUUUUUUGCUUUUAUUUUUAUGCACUGGGAAUUGACGCCACGGCAAAGAGCAGCGCUAACUUAACGGAAAAUGAGGAUCAGAGCUUGAUAUCAAACACUGUGCGGGAGCAGGGACUCAAAAAAGAACUCUGAAGUGACAGCCGAAAAUCUGCCAACACAAGAGUCUUCCAGACAUCAUGUCCCUCCUUUAUAUCAUCAUCUUAUGGCUCUGUGCCUGUGUGGACAGUGCAGAAUCUCUGGUUACUGUAUCAGCUGAAGUGGGUUCCACAGUCAUCCUGCCGUGUAAACUGACUGAAGAGUUCAAACCAACAUCAGUUAUUCAGUGGAAAAUCAACAAAAUAGACCUAAUGUUUGAGAGAAGCAUUAAACAUUAUAGUUCAGGUGAAGGAUAUGAAGGACGUGUGGAUGUUCCUGUGGACGAGCUGCAUAAAGGAAACUGUUCCCUGGUGUUGAGGAACGUCAGAUUUACUGAUGACCAAACCUACAAUUCCUUUACAAUGGAACAUGUGGACAUUAAUAACUAUGUGGAAGCGAAACAAAUUAACAGUGUUACACUCUCAGUCUAUGCUCUUCAGAUAUCAGCUCCAGUGGGUUCCACAGUUGUCCUGCCGUGUGAUUGGAGUCAUCUGUCCAUCAAAACUCCUUACGUUAAGUGGUUUAUCGAUUCUGAGACUGUGUUUAAGCGAAAGGGGAAAGAUUCAUAUCAGUGUGAAGGAUAUGAGGGUCGCGUGAAUGUUCCUGAGAACGAGCUGCUUAAAGGAAACUGUUCCCUGGUGAUGAAGAACAUCAGUGUUAGUGAUACAGGAAUCUACAGAAGCUCCAUGAUUAAAGACACACAGGAAUCUGUCUUGGUCCAGAAGGUUAAACUGUCAGUUGAGGACAGUGUUAAUGAGAGAGAUUCUUCAUCUGAGGAUUCAGACUCACAACAGCCUGGAGGGAACAACUGGAUUAUUUUAUAUGUUGGGAUCAUCGUCAUCAUCAUCAUCAUCAUCAUCUGUGUAUCUGUGUACUACAGCUGUGUGAACGGUAACACCGGUUAAAAUUGUCACAGACGUGCCACCGACUCCACUAAACAGAAUGGAAACAGUGUGACGUACACAACAGUCGACACACAACCACAGAGUUAAUGACCAACACAAGAUGGUCUGCUCUGAUCUCAUCAUGGAUUUCAGAUCAUCUUAAACUUCAUCCCUGAGCCACUUAGCUGAUGUUCAUCUCAGGAGCUUCAUCACCAUGUCAGGAUCUUCUGAUUUACUUCAGAACUUCAAUUUCAAUUCAGAAUAAAAAACAGAAUAUAAAAUUCUAGAUUAUUAUUAGAUAUAAAUAGUUCACAAUCUGUAUGUAUUUAUCCCCCAAUGAGCAAGUCUGAGGUGACUCAGGCAGCAGUGG
RNA transcript from Tachysurus fulvidraco (yellow catfish), 1497 nucleotides. RefSeq lists it as uncharacterized. Lineage: Eukaryota; Metazoa; Chordata; Actinopteri; Siluriformes; Bagridae. The record is from RefSeq and is a predicted model, not a curated record. The transcript is spliced from 8 exons.